AACGAACGCUGGCGGCAGGCUUAACACAUGCAAGUCGAACGCCCCGCAAGGGGAGUGGCAGACGGGUGAGUAACGCGUGGGAAUCUACCCAGUUCUACGGAACAACAGUUGGAAACGACUGCUAAUACCGUAUACGCCCUAAGGGGGAAAGAUUUAUCGGAAUUGGAUGAGCCCGCGUUGGAUUAGCUAGUUGGUGAGGUAAUGGCUCACCAAGGCGACGAUCCAUAGCUGGUCUGAGAGGAUGAUCAGCCACACUGGGACUGAGACACGGCCCAGACUCCUACGGGAGGCAGCAGUGGGGAAUAUUGGACAAUGGGCGCAAGCCUGAUCCAGCCAUGCCGCGUGAGUGAUGAAGGCCUUAGGGUUGUAAAGCUCUUUCAGUAGGGAAGAUAAUGACGGUACCUACAGAAGAAGC
RNAcentral lists this ribosomal RNA (415 nucleotides) under Bacillus sp. oral taxon C01. RNAcentral's name for it is "bacterial SSU rRNA". It matches the Rfam family "Bacterial small subunit ribosomal RNA", at positions 29 to 491 of the family's 1533-position model. The record is from RNAcentral. Lineage: Bacteria; Bacillati; Bacillota; Bacilli; Caryophanales; Bacillaceae.